CUACGGGUCGCUGCAGUGAGGAAUAUUGCACAAUGGGGGGAACCCUGAUGCAGCAACGCCGCGUGGAGGAUGACGCAUUUCGGUGUGUAAACUCCUUUUAUAUGUCAAGAAAAUGACGGUAGCAUAUGAAUAAGCACCGGCUAACUCCGUGCCAGCAGCCGCGGUAAUACGGAGGGUGCAAGCGUUACUCGGAAUCACUGGGCGUAAAGGACGCGUAGGCGGGUUGGAAAGUCAGAUGUGAAAUCCUACAGCUUAACUGUAGAACUGCACUUGAAACUUCUAAUCUAGAGUAUGGGAGGGGGAGAUGGAAUUUGUGGUGUAGGGGUAAAAUCCGUAGAUAUCACUAGGAAUACCUAAAGCGAAGGCGAUCUCCUGGAACAUUACUGACGCUAAGGCGUGAAAGCGUGGGGAGCAAACAGGAUUAGAUACCCGGGUAGUC
Molecule: ribosomal RNA, 439 nt
Filed under: uncultured bacterium
Lineage: Bacteria
Description: partial 16S ribosomal RNA
Rfam family: Bacterial small subunit ribosomal RNA
Source: RNAcentral